GUCUACAACCAUACCACCCCGAAUGUGCCCAAUCUCAUCUGAUCUCAGAAGCUACCAGGGUUAGAUCUGAUUAGUACUUAGAUGGGAGACCAUCUAGGAAUAGUGGGUGCAGUUGGUU
This 118-nucleotide ribosomal RNA is filed under the name Carlito syrichta (Philippine tarsier). Lineage: Eukaryota; Metazoa; Chordata; Mammalia; Primates; Tarsiidae. The record is from RNAcentral.